Non-coding RNA from Phoenix dactylifera (date palm), 679 nucleotides. The record is from RefSeq and is a predicted model, not a curated record. NCBI's taxonomy places the organism in Eukaryota, Viridiplantae, Streptophyta, Magnoliopsida, Arecales, Arecaceae.
UAUUUAAACAAAAACAGUUGGGAUUUCCCUCUAGCUCUAGCUCUAUCCGUGCGGCCCCCGGCCCCAAAGAAGGCCCCCGCUGCCGCCGCGCCGUUCUACGUCGCUGCCCAAAGAAGGCCCCGCUACGUCCCGAGCGGCCGCAGCGGCGGCGAUCGAAUCCACCCUUCGCCCCUUCGGAGAGAAGCCGAUUGAUCAACGAUUCAACAGAUCAAGUCCUCCUCUCCUCGGCUUCUCCGCUCUAAUCAAUCCUCCAUUCCUCCUCUCGAUCAGAGUCGAUCUUGUCGCUUGUCUCCGGCUCUAAGAAGGCAAGAACCUGCCGUCCCACCCGCGGAAGAGUGAAGACCUUCACCUUCAGUUCGUUCUGGUUCUGCCGUUUUAAUUCUGGACCUUGACGGCGGCCACCCCCGGGCUCCCGGUCGACCGGACCACAACCACAGGACCACUAAGCCGAUAACUGUCCAAAUUCAAGAAGACAAAUAUUGGCGAUACAGCACCGUUGUCUGCCCUCUGGAACAGUAAGAUUGUAGAAUUAGAACCACAGGUAUGAGCCCUUCAUUGGUUUCUCUUUCUUUUUAUGUGCUUAACUCUGCUUUCACUAAUUAUAUGCUCAUACUCAAAAUAAGCAGCUAGAGAAAAUUUCUAACACCUAGAAAAAAAAAAACUUCACGCAAGGGAAAAA